AUUAAUGAAGAUAUUGAACAAAACCGGCCCCAGGACUGACUCUUGGGGCAUUCCACUUGAUACCAGCUGCCAACUAGACAUGGAGCCAUUGAUUGCUACUCAUAUGACAUUAUAAGCUCAGUUACACUGAUGUGAAUCUACACAAACUCUAUGGAAGUCAGUGUAACUGAGAUCAGAAUCCUGGAUGCUUGUUAUGGGUAGAUUUCUCAACAGCUUGAGUAACUCCACUGCUGCAUGUAUUUCACCUGAUACUUCACCUAUCCUAUUCUAGGCUUCAAGAGUGGAUUCAGAUUCAGUCCUGUAAUUGAAACUGAAUAGGGGCCAAGCCAAUUUUCCAGUGUGAACUUAGAAGAAUCAAGAGGAGAAUAGGAGGAGAAGCUGCAGGGAAAAAACACAGCUGAAAAUCUUCCAAGAGGGAGGGAGGAAAAAAGAGAGGUACCCGAUCAUCUUCACAAGCCCAGAGAAGUACGUUAGAAGGAGGAAAAAUGACCUACAAAAGGCACAGUCUUGGGUAGCCAGAACUGAGCCAUGGAAGACCUGGUGGGAGGCAGACUGCCUGCAGGAGUUGUUGGAAACAAGGACCCCUUGCAGCAUUGCACCCUGACAAAAUAGGGCACUACAGUUUUGUAAACUCUGGGUCCAGAGGAGCAUACUUUAAAGCUGAGCAAUUGGUGGAAAUAGCAGCCAAGAGCAUGAAUACAUGAUGUCCAGCCCGAGUGUCUUAAUUUAUGCUCCAAAAGAAAUCCAAGCCAAUUGACAAGGCAACAAGUGCAAGAAAUUGUAAACUGAGACAGAAAAAUAGAAAAAAUAGAAAAAUCUGAGAAAAAAGUCUCUGAAAUACAUUUACAGCAUGUGUUCUUUUUGUGCACUUCAAUGUGUUUGGACAUUGAAAAUAGACAGUUUCUCUUCUGUUUAUACUCAGAGCAAAAUCCUACAAUGAUAUUAAGGAAAUUGCAUGAGAUGGAGGAUAGGAUUGAAUUGAAAAGUCAGAAAAUUGUUUGGGGUCAAAUUUUGUAUUGAUUUGGAGGGUUUUUUUUUUACUUUAAUAAAAUUGAAGGAAAUUUCUAAAUUAAUUUGUUUUGAAUUGAAAAAUCAGUGUUUUGUCUCAAAUAUUGAAAUGAAUUUUUUUUUAACUGAAACAAUUGGUGAAGUAACAUGAAUUUGCAAAAUGUUUGUCAACAUGAAUCUUUUUGUUGUUGUUUGCCAAGCUUUAGCACCAAAUCUUCACUAGUGAACAUUAUUUUGUUUGCUGAUCUCCGGGUCCUUUUUCAGAACAAUUUUUGGCACAUCUGUAACCAACCCUUGUGUAAUGAUGUCACAAACUGUUACUAUGUGAUUUAUCAAUUUUUGGAAGUUUCCUUUGCAAUAUGAGUGCUGAACUCUUUCAACCAGAAAUAUGGCAGACUUAAACUCAGUUGAAAUUGACAACAUACCUGAAUUUUAGCAAAAAGUGUUUUACUCCUGUACAUGAUUGACUCAAUUUUUAUAAAAGGUUAACCUCA
This is a long non-coding RNA of Mauremys reevesii (Reeves's turtle), 1502 nucleotides long. RefSeq lists it as uncharacterized. Lineage: Eukaryota; Metazoa; Chordata; Testudines; Geoemydidae. The record is from RefSeq and is a predicted model, not a curated record. The transcript is spliced from 6 exons.